RNAcentral lists this transfer RNA (81 nucleotides) under Rhizobium binae. RNAcentral describes it as "tRNA-Phe". The record is from RNAcentral. Lineage: Bacteria; Pseudomonadati; Pseudomonadota; Alphaproteobacteria; Hyphomicrobiales; Rhizobiaceae.
AGCAAAACGUGUUGAAAAUGCCCGCUUCGUCGCGGAUUGAAAAUCCGCGUGUCACUGGUUCGAUUCCGGUCCUGGGCACCA